Molecule: ribosomal RNA, 249 nt
Filed under: uncultured bacterium
Lineage: Bacteria
Description: partial 16S ribosomal RNA
Rfam family: Bacterial small subunit ribosomal RNA
Source: RNAcentral
CACGCCGUAAACGAUGAGUACUAGGUGUAGGGGGUAUCGACCCCCCCUGUGCCGCAGUAAACACAAUAAGUACUCCGCCUGGGAAGUACGAUCGCAAGAUUAAAACUCAAAGGAAUUGACGGGGACCCGCACAAGCAGCGGAGCAUGUGGUUUAAUUCGAAGCAACGCGAAGAACCUUACCAGGUCUUGACAUCUAUCGAAACCCUAAGAGAUUAGGGCGUGCCCUUCGGGGAACGGUAAGACAGGUGG